This 126-nucleotide small RNA is filed under the name Marmota monax (woodchuck). The record is from RNAcentral. Lineage: Eukaryota; Metazoa; Chordata; Mammalia; Rodentia; Sciuridae.
GCUGGGCUUGGUGGCCUAUGCCUGUAAUCCCAGCAGCUCAAGAGGCUGAGGUAGGAGGAUCAUGAGUUCAAAGCCAGCCUCAGAAAUUUAGUGAGGUGCUAAGAAGUCAGUGAGAUCCUGUCUCUA